UACCCGCUGAAUUUAAGCAUAUCUCUAAGCGGAAGAGAAGAAACUAACCAGGAUGCCCCUAGUAAUGGCGAAUGAAGCGGGCAGAGCUCACGCCGCCAAUCUGGAGGUCUUUCAGCUAACGACCCCCCGAAUUGUAGUCUAGAAAGGCGCCAUCGGGCGCGUCCGCCGCUCAAAUCCCUUGGAACGGGGUAUCGGAGAAGGUGAGAAUCCUGUGCCGUGGCGGAUAGCGGUCGCACGAUGCGUCCUUGCAGAGUCGGGUUGCUUGGGAUUGCAGCUUGAAGUGGGUGGUAAAUUCCAUCUAAAGCUAAAUACUGGCGAGAGACCGAUAGCGAACAAGUACCGUGAGGGAAAGAUGCAAAGAACUUUGAAAAGAGAGUUAAAGAGUGCUUGAAAUCGGCAAGAGGAAACCCGUUUGUGCCCGGCUUCGCGCCGUCGACUCAGCCGCGCUUCUGCGCGGUGCACUUUGUCGGCGCGGGUCAGCCGCGGCUCUCCCUGCUUCACGAGGCUGUUUGCGGGGCUUUACGGCGAGCAUUCAGCUGGGUCGCGGGGUGGCUCCGGCUGACGGAAGCGGCACAACCGACCCGUCUGGAAACACGGACCAAGGAAUCUGAC
This 612-nucleotide ribosomal RNA is filed under the name Pseudohaptolina sorokinii. RNAcentral's name for it is "eukaryotic LSU rRNA". It matches the Rfam family "Eukaryotic large subunit ribosomal RNA", at positions 22 to 679 of the family's 3401-position model. The record is from RNAcentral. Lineage: Eukaryota; Haptophyta; Prymnesiales; Prymnesiaceae.